RNAcentral lists this ribosomal RNA (253 nucleotides) under uncultured bacterium. RNAcentral describes it as "partial 16S ribosomal RNA". It matches the Rfam family "Bacterial small subunit ribosomal RNA", at positions 524 to 776 of the family's 1533-position model. The record is from RNAcentral.
UACAGAUGGGGCAAGCGUUGUUCGGAAUUACUGGGCGUAAAGGGCGCGUAGGCGGCCUUCUAAGUCGAACGUGAAAUCCCUGGGCUCAACCCAGGAACUGCGUCCGAUACUGGGAGGCUUGAAUCCGGGAGAGGGAUGUGGAAUUCCAGGUGUAGCGGUGAAAUGCGUAGAUAUCUGGAGGAACACCGGUGGCGAAGGCGGCAUCCUGGACCGGUAUUGACGCUGAUGCGCGAAAGCCAGGGGAGCAAACGGG